Molecule: long non-coding RNA, 406 nt
Organism: Rhododendron vialii
Lineage: Eukaryota; Viridiplantae; Streptophyta; Magnoliopsida; Ericales; Ericaceae
Exons: 2
Source: RefSeq, a predicted model, not a curated record
UUUUCUUGGCUUGUUUUAUUGGGCAAUGAUACAAUGUUUACUAGUAAUGAAUUAGUUGGUAUUGGCUUUGCCAAUUAUGACGGUCUUAAUGGCAACUUAGUUGCAAAUGGUAGUGCUACUUUGAUUAUGUUUGAAUUGUCUGAGCCCAAGUAUUUUUUUUUUUUAUACACAACGUUCGACGAAGCGGAAGGAGCAUUGUUACAGUUCCGUGAGGAAAGAUACCGACUCCUUCAAAUGCAGUCAGUUCGAACUGAACAACAAUCAAGACACAAUGGUUCCACAUCCGCAAGUGCUUUGGAAAUUCAACAUCAAACUAGUCUAACCACAAAAUUCAUUAUAGUUUUUUUCUUAGGUUUCUUAUGUUGUAUAAUCUUCGCACAUCUAUUCGAUUCUGAUUGAACUUGUA